GAGGAAUGUAUAGCAAUAGCUACUUGUAUCGUUGUAAAGAUGAUGCAAGAUCGACUAUGUUGAAUAAAAUUCUAGGUAGAAUUAUGAUAAUGACAUUGUCUGCCUAUGUGUCUUGACCAAAUUACGUGCCAGCAGUCGCGGUAAUACGUAGAAGACUAGUGUUAUUCAUGUUUAAUCGGUUUAAAGGGUACCUAGACGGUGAAUCAAGCUUUAGAAUAAAAUGAAAAGGACUAAUUCACUAGAGUUACUUACGAGGGGGCAUUAAAGUACUGCUGGUGUAGAGAUGAAAUUCUGUAAUACCUGUCUCAGACAUAUGGCACAGGUAUAGGCGAAGGCAUCCCCUUAUGGGAUAACUGACGUUGAGGGACGAAGGCUUUGUAUAACAAACAGGAUUAGAUACCCUAGUAGUUAAAGCAGAAAAUGAUGAAUGUCAUAGAUUAGAUGUAUAAGUUUAUUCUAUAAAUGAAAGUGUAAGCAUUCCACCUCAUGAGUAAUUUGGCAACAUUGGAAUUGAAAUCAUUAGACCGUUUCUGAAACCAGUAGUGAAGUAUGUUGUUUAAUUUGAUAACCCGCAAAAAACCUUACCACAACUUGAAUAUUUAUAUAAUUUAGAAUAAACUAACAAGGAGGCAAUAUAUUUACAAGUGUUGCACGGCUGUCUUCAGUUAAUGUCGUGAGACUUUGGUUAGUUCCAUUAAAUUAACGUAAACCCUUACUUUAUUAUAUAAAGUAGUUCCCC
This 739-nucleotide ribosomal RNA is filed under the name Crespoa crozalsiana. RNAcentral's name for it is "SSU rRNA". It matches the Rfam family "Bacterial small subunit ribosomal RNA", at positions 356 to 1153 of the family's 1533-position model. The record is from RNAcentral. Lineage: Eukaryota; Fungi; Ascomycota; Lecanoromycetes; Lecanorales; Parmeliaceae.